RNAcentral lists this unclassified non-coding RNA (536 nucleotides) under Candida albicans. RNAcentral describes it as "sequence contains 18S rRNA gene, ITS1, 5.8S rRNA gene, ITS2, 28S rRNA gene". The stretch from base 182 to 335 matches the Rfam family "5.8S ribosomal RNA". Lineage: Eukaryota; Fungi; Ascomycota; Pichiomycetes; Serinales; Debaryomycetaceae. The record is from RNAcentral.
GUAACAAGGUUUCCGUAGGUGAACCUGCGGAAGGAUCAUUACUGAUUUGCUUAAUUGCACCACAUGUGUUUUUCUUUGAAACAAACUUGCUUUGGCGGUGGGCCCAGCCUGCCGCCAGAGGUCUAAACUUACAACCAAUUUUUUAUCAACUUGUCACACCAGAUUAUUACUUAAUAGUCAAAACUUUCAACAACGGAUCUCUUGGUUCUCGCAUCGAUGAAGAACGCAGCGAAAUGCGAUACGUAAUAUGAAUUGCAGAUAUUCGUGAAUCAUCGAAUCUUUGAACGCACAUUGCGCCCUCUGGUAUUCCGGAGGGCAUGCCUGUUUGAGCGUCGUUUCUCCCUCAAACCGCUGGGUUUGGUGUUGAGCAAUACGACUUGGGUUUGCUUGAAAGACGGUAGUGGUAAGGCGGGAUCGCUUUGACAAUGGCUUAGGUCUAACCAAAAACAUUGCUUGCGGCGGUAACGUCCACCACGUAUAUCUUCAAACUUUGACCUCAAAUCAGGUAGGACUACCCGCUGAACUUAAGCAUAUCA